UGGGGAAUAUUGGACAAUGGGCGAAAGCCUGAUCCAGCCAUGCCGCGUGUGUGAAGAAGGUCUUCGGAUUGUAAAGCACUUUAAGUUGGGAGGAAGGGCAGUAAGCGAAUACCUUGCUGUUUUGACGUUACCGACAGAAUAAGCACCGGCUAACUCUGUGCCAGCAGCCGCGGUAAUACAGAGGGUGCAAGCGUUAAUCGGAAUUACUGGGCGUAAAGCGCGCGUAGGUGGUUCGUUAAGUUGAAUGUGAAAGCCCCGGGCUCAACCUGGGAACUGCAUCCAAAACUGGCGAGCUAGAGUAGGGCAGAGGGUGGUGGAAUUUCCUGUGUGGCGGUGAAAUGCGUAGAUAUAGGAAGGAACAACAGUGGCGAAGGCGACCACCUGGGCUCAUACUAACACUGAGGUGCGAAAGCGUAGGGAGCAAACAGG
Molecule: ribosomal RNA, 429 nt
Filed under: Pseudomonadota bacterium
Lineage: Bacteria; Pseudomonadati; Pseudomonadota
Description: Proteobacteria bacterium partial 16S ribosomal RNA
Rfam family: Bacterial small subunit ribosomal RNA
Source: RNAcentral